This 72-nucleotide transfer RNA is filed under the name Spiribacter vilamensis. RNAcentral's name for it is "Halopeptonella vilamensis tRNA-Thr". It matches the Rfam family "tRNA". Rfam says of the family: Transfer RNA (tRNA) molecules are approximately 80 nucleotides in length. Their secondary structure includes four short double-helical elements and three loops (D, anti-codon, and T loops). Further hydrogen bonds mediate the characteristic L-shaped molecular structure. tRNAs have two regions of fundamental functional importance: the anti-codon, which is responsible for specific mRNA codon recognition, and the 3' end, to which the tRNAs corresponding amino acid is attached (by aminoacyl-tRNA synthetases). tRNAs cope with the degeneracy of the genetic code in two manners: having more than one tRNA (with a specific anti-codon) for a particular amino acid; and 'wobble' base-pairing, i.e. permitting non-standard base-pairing at the 3rd anti-codon position. Lineage: Bacteria; Pseudomonadati; Pseudomonadota; Gammaproteobacteria; Chromatiales; Ectothiorhodospiraceae. The record is from RNAcentral.
GCCCAUGUAGCUCAGAGGUAGAGCACUCCCUUGGUAAGGGAGAGGUCCGCGGUUCAAAUCCGCGCAUGGGCU